GGGGACGUUAUGGAUUCGACAGGAAUGGUUCAAGCUUGGGUGGCGCGUCAGAGGCUCGGCUCUGUAAAAACGGAACCUAUAAUAACAGGCAAAACAAACAACAACUUAGCAUUCGCUGCUUAAUAGCGUGAAUCUGCUCUAUGUAUCCAUCGCCCAUGUGGCUAUGUAGAGCUCACUCUCAGUGGGAUACGGUAGCUGGUGCAGUCUGAGUCAGCUACAAGAGAUUUCCAGACUAGUCCAUCGGACGCCUGCUUAUCGGCAGAAGAUCGGAUGAAUCUUAAUAGGUAAGCUACACGCGUAGAAGCUCAAGUGUUGGAGUUUCUGGACGCGGGUUCAAAUCCCGCCGUCUCCAUUU
RNAcentral lists this transfer-messenger RNA (355 nucleotides) under Chryseomicrobium excrementi. RNAcentral describes it as "Standard tmRNA". It matches the Rfam family "transfer-messenger RNA". From Rfam's summary of the family: Bacterial tmRNA, also known as 10Sa RNA or SsrA, is named for its dual tRNA and mRNA-like properties. The record is from RNAcentral. Lineage: Bacteria; Bacillati; Bacillota; Bacilli; Caryophanales; Caryophanaceae.